GGACGCUGGGCUGGGAAGGGGCCUGGUGAGAGGGGUUAACUCCCUCAGCCCAGUUUCCACACUGUCCCCUCCCUCUACAGCACCUGCCCAGGGCAACGCCCACCCGGCCCUCCUCUGCUUCCUUCUCCGAAUUCACACAUCACUUCCCCGCCAAAAAGUAGCAACAAGGAAGACAGAACCACAUCAUAUUCACGGCAUUCCAACGAGAGGGUCACAGCAGCUCCCUGAUGAAAACACAACUGUCAGGAUCGCUAUUCACGUCAUCCCUUGGUGUGCACCCAUGCUGAAGCCACGAAGAGCCGCCCUAUGAAACCCUCUGAGCCACAGCAACAAUCUCACUGCUAAUUAGCUCUGGCUAAUGCACCCUAACAAGUCCUGGAAGUGAGAAGACUGCAGUGGGAAAUGCAGGCGGACAGCUACUUAGCCGGCACUCAGACACAGGGUGACCGAGAUAACUGGUGUCAAAUGGAAUCUGAACAAACCUUCUCCGGGGGUUUAUCCGUACCUCGAAAUGCUGAAGGGAGGCUGCCAGGGCCAAAGAUCCAGGAGAAACAAAUUAAGUGGAAACCCACGGCCCCACCCUCCCCCUCACCUCCAUUGCCAGCAGCUGAAGGUAAACCAAGACGUGGGGCUGAGCCUUCACCCUUCAUGGGCCACGCCAAAUUAGACACUCAUUCUGCAACUCGCGUGUCUGUGCACAGAGCAGUAAGCCUCUAAGUGGGAAAUUCUUCCUCCAGGCAUCGCAGCGCUGCAGAAGCCGUAAGGCACAUAAACAGAGAAGCACCAGGGCCUGAAAGGAAGGCAGCGCUGGCUGUGAUCACUCACUAGAGCCUGAUCCCUUAGGGCUGCCAAGAACCCAGAAGUCUGUUCCAUGUGUACAAAGCAGGCAGGAUGCAAUCCUGACAGAGCCCAAGGGGGUGCAGGAAUUGAUAACCAAGUCGAGAGGGGACAGACAGAAAGAACUCAGUAUGAGCAUUUUUGCAGCCCACCACCAAUUUCACGCAUUUACCUAUUGUACUUUCUCUCUCUUUUCAAAUUAAAAAUAGUUUUAAACAAAUGAUUGCUUUAACGUUUAGAAAAACGUUUGCAGCCUAGGCACGGUGGCUUGCGCUUGUAAUCCCAGCAUAUUAGAUGGCUGAGGCAGGAGGAUCAUUUGAAGCCAGGAGUUCAAGACCAGCCUGGGCAACAUGGCAAGACCCCAUCUCUACAAAAAUUUUUUUAAAAAGCCGGACAUGGUGGCUGUCGUGGGUGCGACUGGCUGGGGCCAGCAUCACAGGUGGUAGAAGAUUUUACCAAGACAGUUGUAAGUAAAGAAAGGCCAAUUUAUUAGGUAAGGUACAGAGAAAUGUUGCAAGGGUUUAAUGGACAGCACAGCAGAGAAAGGGCUGUGUGCAGAGAGGCAGGGGCUGGAGGGAAGUUUUAUAGGUUCACACUGGAGGGGGCUAUGUGCAGAAUGAGGUUGUGCUGCUGGCGCUGUGUGGCGCGAGGUAUUUGGGAACAGGAUGUUGUGCUAGUGGGUUGUCUGUGAUUACCGGUCUCUCAGAACAAUGGCUGUCCCCACAGGGGGCCCCUUUCUCAUUGUUGCUUACUAAUUUGGACUCCACAGUGGUGCAUGCCUGUAGACUCAGCUACUCAAGAGGCUGAAGCGGGAGGAUCAACUGAGUCCAAAGGAUCACACCACUGCACUCCAGCCUGGGUAACAGUGAGAGAUGCCAUCUCUAAAAAUAAAAAUAAAAAACUUUACCCUCUCAAUAACCACAACAUUCAGACCGUGGCUUUGGUUUGAUUGCAGGCUACUUGAGAUAUAGGAAAAAAAGAUGCAGAAAAUAAAAUAGGGCUGAAAAAAGAAUCGGGGAAAGCUAGAAAAAACUCCAGGGCUGCCCUGGGUGCUGGAGGAGGGGAGCAAACAAAUGUCCUCCAGCCUGGUCAGUGUCAGCAGGCUUGUCCCCAAAGAUUAGGGGUCAUGAGGGGUCAUCUGGGGCGGGAGCAGGGCUCACCAGGUCGGGACCAGGACUCUCAGGGCCUCCUGUCUCAGGCCUAAAGGAAGGAGCUUCCAGCCACUGUGGGUGACUACCUUGCUACCACAUGCUGAGCCCAGUGUGAAUGCCUGUAAGGGGUUGAAUAGUAUCCCCCAAAUUUCACAUCUACCCAGAACCUCAGGAUGUGACCUUAUUUUAAAAUAGCGUCUUUGCAAAUGUAAUUAGUUGGGGGUUGAGAGGAUGUCAGGCCUCUGAGCCCAAGCUAAGCCAUCAUAUCCCCUGUGACCUGCACAUACACAUCCAGAUGGCCGGUUCCUGCCUUAACUGAUGACAUUCCACCACAAAAGAAGUGAAAAUGGCCUGUUCCUGCCUUAACUGAUGACAUUAUCUUGUGAAAUUCCUUCUCCUGGCUCAUCCUGGCUCAAAAGCUCCCCUACUGAGCACCCUGUGACCCCCACUCCGGCCCGCCAGAGAACAACCCUCCUUUGCCUGUAAUUUUCCUUUACCUACCCAAAUCUUAUGAAAUGGCCCCACCCCUAUCUCCCUUCGCUGACUCUCUUUUCGGACUCAGCCCACCCACACCCACGUGAAAUAAACAGCCUUGUUGCUCACACAAAGCCGGUUUGGUGGUCUCUUCACAAGGACGCGAGUGAAAUUUUGGUGCCGUGACUCGGAACGGGGGCCUCCCUUGGGAGAUCAAUCCCCUGUCCUCCUGCUCUUUGCUCCAUGAGAAAGAUCCACCUACGACCUCUGGUCCUCAGACUAACCAGCCCAAGGAACAUCUCACCAAUUUUAACUCCGUUCCUUUCCUUUUCUGGUAGAGACGAAGGAGACGCGUUUUAUCCGUGGACCCAAAACUCCAGCGCCAGUCACGGACUCAAGAAGUCUUCCCUUGGUGUUUAAUCACGCGGGGACACCUCCCUGAUUAUUCACCCACGUUUCAGAGGUGUUUUACCACGGGACGCCUGCCUUGGUCCUUCACCCUUAGCGGCUGGACCUGGGCAGGACCAGCCCGGUCAUCUACAGCUGAGGUGAGGCCUGGGCAGAUUUCCCCUCACAGCCCCAGCAGGAACCAACCCCAGGGACACCUCAACCUUGGACUUCCGGCCUCUAGGAAGAUCAGUAAGAGAUUUCAGUUGUUCAAACCACCCGGCCUGUGGCAGUUUGUUCCAGCAGCCCCAGCCAACUCCUGACCUGAAAUAUGUUUAUUUGUUUACAUUUUCUUUGCUGCUUUUUAGAGUCUAAGCCCCACGUGGGCAGGCCUUUUUAUAUUUUAAUCACUACCCUAUCCCAAGUGCCUGGACGGUGUUGUUGGUGUAAAGCAGUUGCUUAAUAAAUAUUUGUGGAAU
This 3328-nucleotide long non-coding RNA is filed under the name Homo sapiens (human). RNAcentral's name for it is "HSALNT0273413". The record is from RNAcentral. Lineage: Eukaryota; Metazoa; Chordata; Mammalia; Primates; Hominidae.